This 373-nucleotide ribosomal RNA is filed under the name uncultured bacterium. Its description in RNAcentral is "bacterial SSU rRNA". It matches the Rfam family "Bacterial small subunit ribosomal RNA", at positions 525 to 896 of the family's 1533-position model. The record is from RNAcentral.
ACAGAGGUGCCAAGCGUUAGGCGGAAUCACUGGGCUUAAAGCGUGUGUAGGCGGACCGUUAAGUGCUUUGUGAAAUCCCACGGCUCAACCGUGGAACUGCUUGGCAUACUGGCGGUCUUGAGCUGCCUAGGGGUCACUGGAACAAACGGUGGAGCGGUGAAAUGCGUAGAUAUCGUUUGGAACGCCCAAGGUGAAAACAGGUGACUGGGGGCAAGCUGACGCUGAGACACGAAAGCCAGGGGAGCAAACGGGAUUAGAUACCCCGGUAGUCCUGGCCCUAAACGAUGUCCACUAGAUCGCAGUGGCUCUGACGUCAUUGCGGUCGAAGCCAAAGUGCUAAGUGGACCGCCUGGGAAGUACGGUCGCAAGGCUA